AGUGAACGCUGGCGGUAGGCCUAACACAUGCAAGUCGAACGGCAGCACAGUAAGAGCUUGCUCUUACGGGUGGUGAGUGGCGGACGGGUGAGGAAUACAUCGGAAUCUACUUUUUCGUGGGGGAUAACGUAGGGAAACUUACGCUAAUACCGCAUACGACCUACGGGUGAAAGCAGGGGAUCUUCGGACCUUGCGCGAUUGAAUGAGCCGAUGUCGGAUUAGCUAGUUGGCGGGGUAAAGGCCCACCAAGGCGACGAUCCGUAGCUGGUCUGAGAGGAUGAUCAGCCACACUGGAACUGAGACACGGUCCAGACUCCUACGGGAGGCAGCAGUGGGGAAUAUUGGACAAUGGGCGCAAGCCUGAUCCAGCCAUACCGCGUGGGUGAAGAAGGCCUUCGGGUUGUAAAGCCCUUUUGUUGGGAAAGAAAAGCAGCAGGUUAAUACCCCGCUGUUCUGACGGUACCCAAAGAAUAAGCACCGGCUAACCUCGUG
This 492-nucleotide ribosomal RNA is filed under the name uncultured bacterium. RNAcentral describes it as "partial 16S ribosomal RNA". It matches the Rfam family "Bacterial small subunit ribosomal RNA", at positions 29 to 507 of the family's 1533-position model. The record is from RNAcentral.